UCUUGUGAGCUUAUAAGUGAUCUUGUUCCAUUUUGUGAAGGGGUGAAGAAGGAGAAGAAGAAGGAAGCAAGGAAACGAGUUCUAGUGCCAAGAUCCAAGAUCAAGUGUGAACUUAUUGAGGUAAUUUCGGAGUUCUCUUCUGGUUUCAUGCUUAAACUUCCAUUAGAGCUCUUUUAAGGGCUAUUUGAUGCUUGUUCCAAGCUUUAUGCNCUCUUUUAAGGGUUAUUUGAUGCUUGUUCCAAGCUUUAUGCUUGUUUGAUUGUGUUAUUGAGCCGAAAUACCUUUGGAUCUGAGUGUUGGGGUGUUGAAGAGUCCAGAUCCACUGUCUUUUUGGAAUUACAUUGCUUAUUAGCCAUGGAUCUACCCUUAUGGUGCAUAUUUUAGUCUUAUUUCCCUCAUUCAUGUGGUUGUGCACGUAAAGUUGGAAACUUUACGUGGUAAAACAGCUUAAUGGACCUAGAUCUAUCAUUUG
RNAcentral lists this long non-coding RNA (472 nucleotides) under Lactuca sativa (garden lettuce). RNAcentral describes it as "long non-coding RNA (LSAT_LNC004579)". The record is from RNAcentral. Lineage: Eukaryota; Viridiplantae; Streptophyta; Magnoliopsida; Asterales; Asteraceae.